Molecule: long non-coding RNA, 714 nt
Organism: Tachyglossus aculeatus (Australian echidna)
Lineage: Eukaryota; Metazoa; Chordata; Mammalia; Monotremata; Tachyglossidae
Exons: 3
Source: RefSeq, a predicted model, not a curated record
UUGUAACUAAUUAUGUCUGCUGCUGGAAAUGUGGACUUCUGUUUCUAUGGAUGCUGGAAUAGGAAGAAUGCUGUAACGCUUCUGAUUUGCACACUUACUACUGCUCUACAAGAUGGAGCACCUGAAAUUAUCCAGCUGUGAGGAGGUAAAUACUGCAGGCUAAGGUGGAGAUCUCCGCACCAGUCAUUGAGACUCUCCUUCCCAUUCGGAGUUCGGCAAAUUAACUCUAAAGAAGGCAAAUGAUAUCCUUACAUCGACUGUCAGAAGGAGAGCACUGGCUGAGAAAGACAGGGGUUUAAGAACUUCAGAGGGUGAGAGUAAAGCCAACGACUUGCAUGGAACAAAGCUAGGAAUGAACUCAAAAGCCACAUGCCACACAAUUCAGCCUAUCAGCAUGAUUACAACAUCAGAAAAGCCCCAUCUGUGGGCAACUGUUCCUUCAGAAUUAGAACUCCCAAGAGGAAGCUAAGAAGUUUCAGCAAACCCCACCCAGUGCAUGUCAGCAACAUUUCUGCAACUCUCAUAAGAACUACCAUCUGAGCAACAGUGAGGAAUCAGAAGUGAACAUCAAGCUGCACUCUGAGCACCUAACAAACAUCGCAGGAAUUUUCAAAGCUCUUUAAAAAAAAAUGCAAGAAGGAAACCCAUCUCGAUGCAAUUUACCAUAUAUGACUGCUUAACUUGGCCAACAUCAUUAAAAUAAGCCAAUCUCAA